RNAcentral lists this ribosomal RNA (508 nucleotides) under uncultured Glomeraceae. RNAcentral describes it as "SSU rRNA". It matches the Rfam family "Eukaryotic small subunit ribosomal RNA", at positions 569 to 1082 of the family's 1831-position model. Lineage: Eukaryota; Fungi; Glomeromycota; Glomeromycetes; Glomerales; Glomeraceae. The record is from RNAcentral.
CGCAGCCGCGGUAAUUCCAGCUCCAAUAGCGUAUAUUAAAGUUGUUGCAGUUAAAAAGCUCGUAGUUGAAUUUCGGGGUUAGUAGGUUGGUCAUGCCUCUGGUAUGUACUGGUCUCACUGAUUCCUCCUUCCUGAUGAAUCUUAAUGCCAUUUAUUUGGUGUUUUGGGGAAUUUGGACUGUUACUUUGAAAAAUUAGAGUGUUUAAAGCAAGCUAACGCUUGAAUACAUUAGCAUGGAAUAAUGAAAUAGGACGUUCGAUCCUAUUUUGUUGGUUUCUAGGAUUGACGUAAUGAUUAAUAGGGAUAGUUGGGGGCAUUAGUAUUCAAUUGUCAGAGGUGAAAUUCUUGGAUUUAUUGAAGACUAACUACUGCGAAAGCAUUUGCCAAGGAUGUUUUCAUUAAUCAAGAACGAAAGUUAGGGGAUCGAAGACGAUCAGAUACCGUCGUAGUCUUAACCAUAAACUAUGCCGACUAGGGAUCGGAUGAUGUUAAUUUUUUAAUGUACUCA